CAUUCUGCAUGGCCUCCUGGUCCCUACCUGAACGCAAAGGGUCUGAGUUGCUGCGUGCCUAACGUGGAACACAGCAGGGAAGGGGGAGAGCCGCCUAAGGGAAGCGGGAGCCAGCACAUCUCUGAAGCCCUUAAAAAGCAAGGUCACACACUACAACACGGAGGAACCCUGAAAACGUUAAAGAAGCCGGUUCCAAAAGACAACAGCCCUUGAUUCCAUUUAUAUGAAGUGUCCAGAAUGGGUAAAUUCAUAGAGACAGAAAAGGGGUGGUUGCCUGGUGGUUUUUGGGGGUGAUGACAGUGUUCUAAAGUUGAUCGUGGUGACGGUUGCACAACUCUGUGAAUAUAGCAAAAAUCAGGGUAUUGUCCAUCUUAAAUGGGUGAAUUAUAUGGUAUAUGAAUCAUACCUCAAAGCUGUUAUCCUUGCCCCCCACCCCCAGAAAACCAAGACAGAACAUAGGUUAUGCCCCCC
This is a long non-coding RNA of Neofelis nebulosa (Clouded leopard), 471 nucleotides long. RefSeq lists it as uncharacterized. The transcript is spliced from 2 exons. NCBI's taxonomy places the organism in Eukaryota, Metazoa, Chordata, Mammalia, Carnivora, Felidae. The record is from RefSeq and is a predicted model, not a curated record.